GUGUUGUGCUCAGCUGCAGCCAGCUGUGGCCACCCAGGAUCAGGGCUCCACGUCUCAAGAGAAGCUAGGAAAGUCAGCUUUCAUGCAAAACUUCGAGAUUUUUAAAAAGCUCAAGGCAGGCCAAGCAAAAUCCCAUCUGUGGGCCUCCAGUCCCUGGAGGGGAGCCAAGUAGGGUUUCCAAACAGGCCUAUGACACAGUCCCAUUUGAGUUUUGGACGAAUGGCUUCAGUGACAGACUGAACAGGAAGAAGGCAGUGGCUGUGGGCAGCACGUUGCAGCUCCCCAAAGGCCUUCAGAGAAACCCAAGGGCUCGAUGGCGGCCCCGGCCCUAACUUCCGGAGGACCCUUAUUUGAGUGGGUGGGAGAGUGGGCCAGCUGGACCCCAGACACAUGCUGGGGAGUGGGGAGAAUGGACUAUCACUUUUCCCUUAGUUCCCAAAGCCACCCAGGCCAUUGCGUCCACGCCCACCCUGGGCCGCAAAGACCAUGGGUUACUAAGGGUCAGUCCCUGGACAGAUGUGGCCACAGGCCAUCCCAAAGGACCAUGGGAGAAGCUGGAAUGACACAUCACACUCCAGGCUGGGUUGUGACCCCAGGGGAUCACACUGGGGUAACUGCAGGUCACCGGAAAUGGAGUAAACAGAGGCUGUGCUCUGACCUGCUUGGACCCUUUGGAGGUACCGUAUCCAGGCUCUCCCCUCCCCGGCCGGGGCACAACCUCCCUGCUUCCUUUCCAUUGGCCACAGACUCUAGACUGCAGCUCCCCUAAAAGAAACCAGCCAAGUCCCAGAGGAAACAGAGGACUAGCCAGCCGUGCAGGGGGGGACUGACCCUCGGAGGCUGAAGUUUCGGUGACCAUGGUCGACCGAAGUCCUGAAGCAGAUGACCCUCCUUCCGAAGUCUCAUCAGGAGGUCAGUGGUAGCGUCGCGCUACGUCACAGGGCCUCCGUCACUCGCCCGACUCACUUCAUCUCAUUACGCAGGCAUUUUCUCAUCUCCCAUCAUCAUAAGAAGAAGGGUAUUUGUGGUUGUUGGAGCGACUUCUACCUGCGCUAAACCACCCCACCCUGAGGUUUUAAAGUGAAGUGUUUUGAUUGGCUCCGAAUGUGAUCAUGUGAUUGAGCAUUGGCCAAUGAGAUCAUCGCAUUUCUGCCAAGUUAUCGGCUCAGCUGCCUGAUGCAUUCCCAACUCAGCUUCCUUUCGCUAGACCCAACAAUCAUCCACAGAAAUCCCAGUGCCACCCGACGCAAGAGGAAGUGAGAUGGAAGAGAAGCCAACCAACCGGAAGGAGAACUGGCCUUAACUGGUGGUGGGCGAACCAUCCUCUUCGUGCAAAUCACAUGGAAACACGUGACCCUAGAGAGAGAGAGAGAGAGAGAGAGAGAAUCUCAAGCAGGCUCCACACUCAGCACAGAGCCCACAGAGUCUCAUAACCCGAAGAUCCUGAUGUGAGCCGAAAUCAAGAGGUGGAUGCUCAACCGAAUGAGACCCCAGCUGCUCCUCCAACAAGACUUUUGAAGGGAAAAAAAUGCCUUAAUUUCAAGGUGCACCUCUGACAGCAGGGGUGUAAGUCAGUGUGACAGGUCACUAGGACAGAUAUAGACUGUGGACCCAGUGAGCAUGCAGGCAGGUCCUGCAAAGCACAUGCGGUGUAUUCGUUUUCUGUCGCGACUGUAACGCACAACCACGGGUUUGAAGGCUUAAAACAAAGUCUAUUUACCCUUUCAUGUGUCUGCAGGUCAGAAGUCCAAGUUCACCGUGCCCUGGUGGGUCCUUUGCUUAGAGUCUCCCAAGACUGAGACCAGAGUGGUCAGUGGGACCAUGUUCCUUUCUGGAGGCUCUGGGGAUGAAUGUGGUUCCAAGCUCAUUUCAGUAGUUAGUUGAAUUCAGUUCCCCGUGGUUGUGGGACUGAGGAGCCCCUGCUUCCAAUGGGGGGGGGGGCUGGUCUUUGCAACUAGAGGCUGCCCACAUUCCUUCUCGUGCUUUCCGUGCACCCCCCGCCAGCAGCAGUGGGGCAAAACCCUCCCAGGCUUCAAAUCUCUGACAUCUUCCAGCCCAUUUCUCUGCCUGCGGCCAGAGAAAGUUCUCUGCUUCUGAGGACUUUUUAGAAUUAUGUGAUUAUAGGGGCGCCUGAGUAGCUCCGUCGGUGAAGCGGCAGUCUCUUGAUUGCCGCUC
Leopardus geoffroyi (Geoffroy's cat) is the source of this 2175-nucleotide long non-coding RNA. RefSeq lists it as uncharacterized. Lineage: Eukaryota; Metazoa; Chordata; Mammalia; Carnivora; Felidae. The record is from RefSeq and is a predicted model, not a curated record. The transcript is spliced from 5 exons.